Trichobilharzia regenti is the source of this 45-nucleotide non-coding RNA. Lineage: Eukaryota; Metazoa; Platyhelminthes; Trematoda; Strigeidida; Schistosomatidae. The record is from Rfam.
AUCCAGCUGACGAGUCCCAAAUAGGAAGAAAUGCGCAUCCUGGAU